Molecule: ribosomal RNA, 801 nt
Filed under: uncultured bacterium
Lineage: Bacteria
Description: bacterial SSU rRNA
Rfam family: Bacterial small subunit ribosomal RNA
Source: RNAcentral
AGAGUUUGAUCCUGGCUCAGGACGAACGCUGACGGUGUGCUUUAGACAUGCAAGUCGAACGAGAAAGCCCUUCGGGGUGAGUACAGUGGCGAACGGGUGAGUAACACGUGGGUAACCUGCCCCUCGCAGGGGGACAACCGGGGGAAACCCCGGCUAAUACCCCGUACGCUCCGAGGUCCGCAUGGGCCACGGAGGAGAGGUAGCUUCGGCCAUCCGGCGAGGGAUGGGCUCGCGGUCCAUUAGCUAGUUGGUGGGGUAACGGCCUACCAAGGCGACGAUGGAUAGCUGGUCUGAGAGGAUGAUCAGCCACACUGGGACUGAGACACGGCCCAGACUCCUACGGGAGGCAGCAGUCGGGAAUCUUGCGCAAUGGGCGAAAGCCUGACGCAGCAACACCGUGUGGGCGACGAAGGCCUUCGGGUCGUAAAGCCCUGUUGUUGGGGACGAAGGGCGAAGGGUUAAUAGCCCCCAGCCUGACGGUACCCUUCGAGGAAGCCCCGGCUAACUACGUGCCAGCAGCCGCGGUAAUACGUAGGGGGCGAGCGUUGUCCGGAAUUAUUGGGCGUAAAGAGCGUGUAGGCGGUUCGGUAAGUCUGCCGUGAAAACCCGGGGCUCAACCCCGGUCGUGCGGUGGAUACUGCCGGGCUAGAGGGUGGUAGAGGCGAGUGGAAUUCCCGGUGUAGCGGUGAAAUGCGCAGAUAUCGGGAGGAACACCAGUAGCGAAGGCGGCUCGCUGGGCCAUUCCUGACGCUGAGACGCGAAAGCUAGGGGAGCGAACAGGAUUAGAUACCCUAGUAGUCC